UACGUAGGGGGCAAGCGUUAUCCGGAUUUACUGGGUGUAAAGGGAGCGUAGACGGCAGUGCAAGUCCGGAGUGAAAGCCCGGGGCUCAACCCUGGGACUGCUCUGGAAACUGUAAAGCUGGAGUGCGGGAGGGGCAGGCGGAAUUCCUAGUGUAGCGGUGAAAUGCGUAGAUAUCAGGAGGAACACCGGCGGCGAAGGCGGCCUGCUGGACCGUAACUGACGUUGAGGCUCGAAAGCGUGGGGAGCAAACAGG
This 253-nucleotide ribosomal RNA is filed under the name uncultured bacterium. RNAcentral describes it as "partial 16S ribosomal RNA". It matches the Rfam family "Bacterial small subunit ribosomal RNA", at positions 524 to 776 of the family's 1533-position model. The record is from RNAcentral.